GUCCAAUUAGGGUAGUGGACUAUCCUACGGGCUUGCGGAGCCUGUGACCGGGGUUCGAAUCCCCGAUUGGACG
Molecule: transfer RNA, 73 nt
Filed under: Halobacteriales archaeon
Lineage: Archaea; Methanobacteriati; Methanobacteriota; Halobacteria; Halobacteriales
Description: tRNA-Arg
Rfam family: tRNA
About the family: Transfer RNA (tRNA) molecules are approximately 80 nucleotides in length. Their secondary structure includes four short double-helical elements and three loops (D, anti-codon, and T loops).
Source: RNAcentral